GACGAACGCUGGCGGCGUGCUUAACACAUGCAAGUCGAACGGAAAGGCCCUGCUUUUGUGGGGUGCUCGAGUGGCGAACGGGUGAGUAACACGUGAGUAACCUGCCCUUGACUUUGGGAUAACUUCAGGAAACUGGGGCUAAUACCGGAUAGGGGCUCCUGCUGCAUGGUGGGGGUUGGAAAGUUUCGGCGGUUGGAGAUGGACUCGCGGCUUAUCAGCUUGUUGGUGGGGUAGUGGCUUACCAAGGCUUUGACGGGUAGCCGGCCUGAGAGGGUGACCGGCCACAUUGGGACUGAGAUACGGCCCAGACUCCUACGGGAGGCAGCAGUGGGGAAUAUUGCACAAUGGGCGGAAGCCUGAUGCAGCAACGCCGCGUGCGGGAUGACGGCCUUCGGGUUGUAAACCGCUUUCGCCUGUGACGAAGCGUGAGUGACGGUAAUGGGUAAAGAAGCACCGGCUAACUACGUG
Molecule: ribosomal RNA, 468 nt
Filed under: uncultured bacterium
Lineage: Bacteria
Description: partial 16S ribosomal RNA
Rfam family: Bacterial small subunit ribosomal RNA
Source: RNAcentral